Molecule: ribosomal RNA, 260 nt
Filed under: uncultured bacterium
Lineage: Bacteria
Description: partial 16S ribosomal RNA
Rfam family: Bacterial small subunit ribosomal RNA
Source: RNAcentral
CGAAGGGGCGUAGCGUUGCUCGGAAUCACUGGGCGUAAAGGGACGGCGUAGGCGGACAAUUAAAGUCAGGGGUGGAAAUCCCGGGGCCGUCAACCUCGGAAUUGCCUUUGAUACUGGUUGUCUUGAGAUCGGAAGAGGUAAGUGGAAUUGCGAGUGUAGAGGUGAAAUUCGUAGAUAUUCGCAGGAACACCAGUGGCGAAGGCGACUUACUGGUCCGUAUCUGACGCUGAGGCGCGAAAGCGUGGGGAGCAAACAGGAUU